Molecule: ribosomal RNA, 403 nt
Filed under: uncultured bacterium
Lineage: Bacteria
Description: partial 16S ribosomal RNA
Rfam family: Bacterial small subunit ribosomal RNA
Source: RNAcentral
AUUGAACGCUGGCGGCAGGCCUAACACAUGCAAGUCGAGCGCGCGGCGGACGGGUGAGUAAUGUAUGGGGACUGCCCGAUAGAGGGGGAUAACUACUGGAAACGGUAGCUAAUACCGCAUACUAUCGGAUAACCUAUAUGGAAUUAGCUAGUAGGUGAGGUAAUGGCUCACCUAGGCGAGGAUCCCGAGCUGGGCUGAGAGGAUGAUCAGCCAAACUGGGACUGAGACACGGCCCAGACUCCUACGGAGGCAGCAGUGGGGAAUAUUGCACAAUGGGCGAAAGCCGGAUGCAGCCAUGCCGCGUGUAUGAAGAAGGCCCUAGGGUUGUAAAGUACUUUCAGUCGGGAAGCGUUACCGACAGAAGAAGCACCGGCUAACUCCGUGCCAGCAGCCGCGGUAAUUC